This 245-nucleotide long non-coding RNA is filed under the name Phoenix dactylifera (date palm). RNAcentral describes it as "long non-coding RNA (PDAC_LNC002072)". The record is from RNAcentral. Lineage: Eukaryota; Viridiplantae; Streptophyta; Magnoliopsida; Arecales; Arecaceae.
GUCCGUGGCGAUUUAAGGAGCAAGAAGAAAGGAUGAAGAAACUCGAAAACAAAAUCAGUAAGGUCAGGCAGAACUCAAAUCCUGCCUAGAUAUAUCAUGGCUGAAAGAAUCCUUUGAUAGACAUGUCUCUUGGUAUGAUAUAGAUGCUUCAUUUCCUUGUUUUACUCCAAAUGAUCAGUUGGUUCUUUGCAAUUAAGAAAAUUCCGGCCCUCUUCUUUGCUGUAAAUUUAUUGGCUCUGUAUAGC